This 453-nucleotide ribosomal RNA is filed under the name Porticoccaceae bacterium. RNAcentral describes it as "partial 23S ribosomal RNA". It matches the Rfam family "Bacterial large subunit ribosomal RNA", at positions 1 to 391 of the family's 2925-position model. Lineage: Bacteria; Pseudomonadati; Pseudomonadota; Gammaproteobacteria; Cellvibrionales; Porticoccaceae. The record is from RNAcentral.
GGUCAAGCGAGUAAGCGCAUACGGUGAAUGCCUUGGCAGUUGGAGGCGAUGAAGGACGUAGGAGCCUGCGAUAAGCUUCGGGGAGGUGGCAAACACCCUUUGAUCCGAAGAUUUCCGAAUGGGGAAACCCACCCAGCAUAAGCUGGGUAUCGUGCACUGAAUACAUAGGUGUACGAAGCGAACCCGGAGAACUGAAACAUCUAAGUAACCGGAGGAAAAGAAAUCAACCGAGAUUCCCUAAGUAGCAAGAUCAACCGUUGAUUUGUACGUGGCGUAGUUUUGCCUGAAAAACAUCGCCACAUCGGGACCAAAAAUCACGAAGGCAAUGGGACCUGCAGAACUAUUUAACGAAUCAUAGUAGUGUUCUGACUGGAAGUGAGCUUCGGCGCGACGCAGGGCUUCAGCAAUUUGGCCCGGUUUAUUUUAGAUCAAUUCGCGCCACAUAGCCUGGCG